CGGGUAUUUGGCAUGUGUGAUCUAAUUUAUUCAUCUCGCUUUCAAAGACGAGACCUAUUUUCCUUGUUAGGGGUAGACAGUAUUCGUUGAUAAUAUCUAUAGUAUUCCGUAAGACCAGUUUUAUUAUAUAUAUACACAAAUUACCUGCGCCUGUUGACGUUUCUUUGGGCUGCUCCAUCCUAAAUUGCCAUUUUAUUUCGAAUAGCAACCGUAAAAGUUUCGGAUAGCAACAGCGGACGCGUUUUUUUUUCGAAUAGCAACCGUCAACGUACUACACCGUGGAA
RNAcentral lists this long non-coding RNA (284 nucleotides) under Mytilus galloprovincialis (Mediterranean mussel). Lineage: Eukaryota; Metazoa; Mollusca; Bivalvia; Mytilida; Mytilidae. The record is from RNAcentral.